AUACGGAGGAUGCGAGCGUUAUCCGGAUUUAUUAGGUUUAAAGGGUGUGUAGGCGGUAUUUUAAGUCAGUGGUGAAAUCUCGGAGCUUAACUUCGAAACUGCCAUUGAUACUGGAAUACUUGAGUAUAGUUGAGGUAGGCGGAAUAUGUAAUGUAGCGGUGAAAUGCAUAGAUACUACAUAGAACACCGAUUGCGAAGGCAGCUUACUAAACUAUUACUGACGCUGAUGCACGAAAGCGUGGGGAGCGAACAGGAUUAGAUACCCUAGUAGUCC
This 274-nucleotide ribosomal RNA is filed under the name uncultured bacterium. RNAcentral describes it as "partial 16S ribosomal RNA". It matches the Rfam family "Bacterial small subunit ribosomal RNA", at positions 523 to 796 of the family's 1533-position model. The record is from RNAcentral.